This 231-nucleotide long non-coding RNA is filed under the name Dermacentor andersoni. RNAcentral describes it as "uncharacterized LOC126517376". The record is from RNAcentral. Lineage: Eukaryota; Metazoa; Arthropoda; Arachnida; Ixodida; Ixodidae.
GAGAAGAAGUGUAAGCAGACCAUGCUAUGUUGCUGAUCUGCGCUGAUCUCCACAUCCAAGUUGGUCCCGCGACAGUUGGGCACCAUUGUGCCUUGCUUCAUUGACAAGGUGAUAUAAUAUGGUGCCCUGCUCGCUCUCACCCAAGCAACCCACUCCAGCGGUCUUCUCUCGGCAGACUGGAUGCAUCGAAAUACCGUUAGAAGGUCCAAUAAACAGUGCUUGGGACAUUUA